RNAcentral lists this ribosomal RNA (324 nucleotides) under Osteocephalus oophagus (oophagous slender-legged treefrog). RNAcentral's name for it is "partial 16S ribosomal RNA". It matches the Rfam family "Bacterial large subunit ribosomal RNA", at positions 1927 to 2341 of the family's 2925-position model. Lineage: Eukaryota; Metazoa; Chordata; Amphibia; Anura; Hylidae. The record is from RNAcentral.
ACGGCCGCGGUAUCCUAACCGUGCGAAGGUAGCGUAAUCACUUGUCUUUUAAAUGGGGACUUGUAUGAAUGGCAUCACGAGGGUUAUACUGUCUCCUUUUUCUAAUCAGUGAAACUAACCUUCCCGUGAAGAAGCGGGAAUAAACAUAUAAGACGAGAAGACCCUAUGGAGCUUUAAACUCAAUAACAAAUACUAGCCUUGCCUCAACCUUCAGAGUAUUAACCUUAAUUUUAGUAUAAUGAUUAUUAGUUUUAGGUUGGGGUGACCGCGGAGUAAAAAUUAACCUCCACAUUGAACGGGACCUAUCCCUGAGCCAAGAACUAC